AGCAGUAGCCGCGGUAAGACAGAGGAUGCAAGCGUUAUCCGGAAUGAUUGGGCGUAAAGCGCGCGUAGGUGGUUUGUUAAGUUGAAUGUGAAAUCCCCGGGCUCAACCUGGGAACUGCAUCCAAAACUGGCAAGCUAGAGUAGGGUAGAGGGUGGUGGAAUUUCCUGUGUAGCGGUGAAAUGCGUAGAUAUAGGAAGGAACACCAGUGGCGAAGGCGACCACCUGGACUCAUACUGACACUGAGGUGCGAAAGCGUGGGGAGCAAACAGGAUUAGAUACCCCCGUAGUCCCUGUCUCUUAUAC
Molecule: ribosomal RNA, 303 nt
Filed under: uncultured bacterium
Lineage: Bacteria
Description: partial 16S ribosomal RNA
Rfam family: Bacterial small subunit ribosomal RNA
Source: RNAcentral